GGCAGGACAAGCUCGCUGUGCUGUCUCUGUAUGCCAGAAUCAGAAGCGCAGGUACACACAAAGACCGCCCGGACCCUAGCUAAAAAACCUGCAUGCCCUUUUAGUUCAGACACUUUUUAAUUGUUUUUCAAAUUGCUUCUCGUGUCUGCCAUUGCACUCGCACUUUUAAUUUAGGUUAGUCUCAUAUUCUUUUAAUAUCCUUCGUUUGAGUUGCGGUGUCAGUUGUUGGCUACCUGUCCCGUUAGGUGUUGAAGGAAGGACGGAAGGAAGGAACGCACACAGGAAACGUUCCUCCAGAGUUCAACAGCUAAAACACCACAGAGCAAACGCGUCGAAAAAAGGGUCAUUGGCGGUCAGUGGGAUGAUAGUGAGGUGGGUUGGAGUCUGGAUUGAAGGAGCAUGGUGAAGCACCAACCCUUACAGGUCUAUGAGAGACAGCUGUGUUUGUCAUGUCUAACCGGAAUAUACGGCUGCCGCUGGAAACGCUACCAGCGGUCACAUGAUGACACCACCAAGUGGGAGUGUUUAUGGACCUUCAUUCUCUUCUGCACUUUCUCCUUGUUACUGGUGUGGUUUUACUUCUGGUGGGAGGCCCACAAUGACUACAGCGAGUUUAACUGGUUUUUAUAUAACCAUUCAGGGGAGUGGAGCGAUGGAACCAUUCCCAUAUUGGCCACCACUGCAGCUGGCUUCACCUAUAUUGCAUUUUUAAUGAUUUUAGCCCUGUGUCAUGUAGCUGUCGGACAGCAGUUAAACCUUCACUGGCUCCACAAGAUUGGUGUGACAGUCGCUUUGCUCGCUACAAUAAUUGGCGUGAUAUCUGUCACUCAGAUGUGGGGAGAGGAAUGGGAUGUAGUUUGGAUUUCUCUUCAGGCUACUGGUCCCUUCCUUCAAAUCGGCGCUUUAGCUGCAACUACCGCUUUGGCCUGGCUGGUGGCGGGACAGGUGGCACGCGGGGAGAGAACAAGGUUCCAGAUGAUGGUUCUCCUCAUCUACGUGAGUGUUCUCCUUACACUGUACUUCAUUCCGCUGUCAAUCACCUCACCCUGCAUUAUGGAGCGUGGGAGUCUCAAAGCAGCACCCGCUAUCAUCGGCUAUCAAGGAGCUCCAAUGCUCGCUCCAGAGAACACUCUACUGUCCUUCAACCGAGCUCUGCAGAGAAAUGUUAGUGGGUUGGAGGCGGAUGUGACCAUCAGUCUAGAUGGUGUGCCGUUCCUCAUGAGAGACCGGACAUUGAGGAGAACCACAAACGUGAGGAGAGUGUUCCCAGAGAGACAGUAUGAGGAUGCUUCACUCUUCAACUGGACUGAUCUGAGCUCACUGAACGCUGGCCAGUGGUUUCUGAAGGAUGAUCCUUUCUGGACUGUACAGUACAUGUCAGCUUCCGAACGCUUAUCGGUGGGGAACCAGACGGUGUGCAGCUUGGAGCAGAUGCUGAAACUAGCGGCUAAAUCCAAGACCUCGGCUGUAUUCACUCUGCGUAGACCACCGCCCAAUCACCCCCACCACCAUGACUGGGUCAACCUCACCCUGGACACUGUUCUGAGGUCAAGAAUACCACAACGGCAGGUGAUGUGGACGGUGGACAGUAACAGGGAGAUGGUGAGGCAGGUUGCUCCAGGUUUACAGCAGACCUCAGUACACAAGCUGCCCCUCGACACACUCCAUCAUAAAGACAUCAGCAGGGUCCUCCUGCGCUACAACCAGGCCUCUGUGCAGGACGUCCGGCUGUAUAAUGAGAACAACAUCAGUCUGACUCUGUAUUCAGUGAACGCCCCGUGGCUGUAUUCUCUGCUGUGGUGCAGCGGGGUGUCGUCCGUCUCCUCUGAAGCCCCGCAGGUGCUGAGGAAGGUGCACUAUCCGCUCUGGCUCAUGACUCCGGAUGAGUACUGCUUGAUAUGGAUCUCCACUGAUCUCAUUUCCUUUGCUGUAGUUCUGGGAAUAUUUAUAUUCCAGAACUAUCACAUAAUCAGGUGGAGAAUGAGUGGGAUGCGUAGCUACAACCCAGAGCAGAUCAUGCUGAGCGCAGCUGUUAGGAGAUCCAGCAGAGAUGUCAACAUCAUGAAGGAGAAGCUCAUCUUCUCUGGUCAGCCACAGUAGCUGUCCACCUCCUGGGUUUGAGUCUUCCACUACUGUAUGUCUCCGCAUCCCAUUCCAUCUCAUUCCCAGACCCUCCUCUCUCCCUCCUGUUUCUUACUGCCUGCCACCAUCCUGUCUCUUCCUGCAUCCGUUCAUCCAUCCAUCAAUCCAUUCUCCGCUGACAUCCCACAGACUGAAUGAUCUGUAGCACCACUGGCCAGGGUAACUGUGGCCUGCGUAUGAGGUGAGCAACGGAGUCAGCAGCGAUGAACCAUACAUGGAAAAUGGAUUUAACUACUACACCAAUUAAGGCGUUGCUCAUUGACUCAUGGAGCGAAAAAAAAAAAUGCAUCACAUCUUGAACCAACUUGUGGUGUAUCCUCUGAACUUACUACUGACUUAUCUCUUAGUCUACUGGUGAUGAUGGACUCUUGUACAGAUAUUUUUCCCCGUUUUUCCUUUGCUAAGUUGCUUGUUCUAAAUUCUGUACAAUAAAGAGAAGAAUGAAGUGUGGGUUUUCUGACUAUUACCAAAUCUGUGGCCUCUUCCCCCACGUAACGCUUGAGGAUGCUGGAAUGCCUGUUACUUGCUUCGUAUUGCAAGCAUGCCUGUGAUAAUAUAGUGGAUUUUAUCUAUCGGUUUUUGGGGAUUUUAUUUUUUUCUAAUCUUCCAUAGCCAGCCAACGUGGAGUAUAACGUAUAUAAUGCCAGCUUUUUUUAUUUCUAGACCUUGAUUUGAUGUGAUAUUCACAGUCUAAUGAUGCCUUCUGUUCAAACGGUUGUAAAUUUUGUAGAUCUAACAGGUGUUUACAGAGUGCCUGCCUUUAGCCCUUCAGUGAUAUUUACUGUGUUUGACAUUCCACCUAUUUAGCAUGUGGUUCAGUUGUCAUUUUGAGAGGAAAUCACCCAGCCUUAUCAUCUUGGUCAGUAUGAUGCCAGAAUACAUGGAACAUUUAGGCACAUAUUCUGCAUACAUACCAGUGGUUUGAUGUAAGGGAGACAAAAUAUAUCCACUAAUUAGUUUGGAAUGGGGGAUUACAGAAACCAAAAGUUAAAGUUUAGUUUAGGCUGUAGUUGAACACUGUUGAAAGCUGGCUUGGAGUUUCGAUGCCGUGCAAUAUUACUUGGACACUGUCCUAUAAUAAAAAGUGUUUGAAUGUUGUUCAGUGGCUUUUCUUUUUUAAACUAUUAAAUUAUAAUUUUAGCGUCAACCCUCUUGUUUAAGUAGCUUUUCAUGUAUUGAACACUUUGUACAGGGCUUCCUGUUGCUGAGGUGCCCUGACCCCAGACUUAAUAUUAUAAAUGUGAGAUGUGACAUUGUUUACAGUGGUUGUGCUGUCACACAGAGGACAGGCUGAACGAUUGUGCUGGUUGAUGUUUUAAUGAUGUGUUUCAGAGAUCAGUCAAUAAAAAUAAAAAAACUGCAGAUUUGA
Molecule: non-coding RNA, 3511 nt
Organism: Pimephales promelas (fathead minnow)
Lineage: Eukaryota; Metazoa; Chordata; Actinopteri; Cypriniformes; Leuciscidae
Source: RefSeq, a predicted model, not a curated record